This 478-nucleotide ribosomal RNA is filed under the name uncultured bacterium. RNAcentral describes it as "bacterial SSU rRNA". It matches the Rfam family "Bacterial small subunit ribosomal RNA", at positions 28 to 517 of the family's 1533-position model. The record is from RNAcentral.
GAUGAACGCUAGCGGCAGGCUUAAUACAUGCAAGUCGAGGGGCAGCAUGGUGUAGCAAUACACUGAUGGCGACCGGCAAACGGGUGCGGAACACGUACGCAACCUUCCCAAAACUGGUGAAUAGCCCUCCGAAAGGAGGAUUAAUACACCGUAACAUAAUGAAGUGGCAUCACUUUGUUAUUAUAACUCCGGUGGUUUUGGAUGGGCGUGCGGCUGAUUAGGUAGUUGGCGGGGUAACGGCCCACCAAGCCUGCGAUCAGUAACUGGUGUGAGAGCACGACCAGUCACACGGGCACUGAGACACGGGCCCGACUCCUACGGGAGGCAGCAGUAAGGAAUAUUGGUCAAUGGACGAAAGUCUGAACCAGCCAUGCCGCGUGAAGGAUGAAGGUCCUCUGGAUUGUAAACUUCUUUUAUCAGGGAAUAAUCUUGAAGGUACCUGAUGAAUAAGCACCGGCUAACUACGUGCCAGCAGCCG